AGUGAACGCUGGCGGUAGGCCUAACACAUGCAAGUCGAACGGCAGCACAGUAAGAGCUUGCUCUUACGGGUGGCGAGUGGCGGACGGGUGAGGAAUACAUCGGAAUCUACUUUUUCGUGGGGGAUAACGUAGGGAAACUUACGCUAAUACCGCAUACGACCUACGGGUGAAAGCAGGGGAUCUUCGGACCUUGCGCGAUUGAAUGAGCCGAUGUCGGAUUAGCUAGUUGGCGGGGUAAAGGCCCACCAAGGCGACGAUCCGUAGCUGGUCUGAGAGGAUGAUCAGCCACACUGGAACUGAGACACGGUCCAGACUCCUACGGGAGGCAGCAGUGGGGAAUAUAGGACAAUGGGCGCAAGCCUGAUCCAGCCAUACCGCGUGGGUGAAGAAGGCCUUCGGGUUGUAAAGCCCUUUUGUUGGGAAAGAAAAGCAGCAGGUUAAUACCCCGCUGUUCUGACGGUACCCAAAGAAUAAGCACCGGCUAACUUCGU
RNAcentral lists this ribosomal RNA (491 nucleotides) under uncultured bacterium. Its description in RNAcentral is "partial 16S ribosomal RNA". It matches the Rfam family "Bacterial small subunit ribosomal RNA", at positions 29 to 506 of the family's 1533-position model. The record is from RNAcentral.